RNAcentral lists this ribosomal RNA (282 nucleotides) under uncultured bacterium. Its description in RNAcentral is "partial small subunit ribosomal RNA". It matches the Rfam family "Bacterial small subunit ribosomal RNA", at positions 26 to 281 of the family's 1533-position model. The record is from RNAcentral.
AGAAUCAACGCUGGCGGCGUGCCUAACACAUGCAAGUCGAACGCGGUUACUUUUGUUUCGCAAGAAAUAGGAGUAACUGAGUGGCGAACGGGUGAGUAACACGUGGGUGACCUACCUUCGAGUGGGGGAUAACGUCCCGAAAGGGACGCUAAUACCGCAUAACAUCCUUCCUUUGAACAGGAGGAGAUCGAAAGCCGGGGGAUCGUAAGACCUGGCGCUUGAUGGACGGGGCCCGCGUCCGAUUAGCUAGUUGGUGAGGUAACGGCCCACAAGGCGACGAUC